This is a non-coding RNA of Acanthosepion pharaonis, 114 nucleotides long. The record is from the annotation of a GenBank genome assembly. Lineage: Eukaryota; Metazoa; Mollusca; Cephalopoda; Sepiida; Sepiidae.
UCGCGGCCAUAUCACGUUGAAACAUUGGUUCUCGUACGAUCAACGAAGUUAAGCAACGUCGUGCCUGGUCUGUAUCUAGGUUGGUGAGAGCUUGAGAAUACCAGAUGCUGUAAG